AGAACGAACGCUGGCGGCAUGCCUAAUACAUGCAAGUCGAACGAAGGCUUCGGCCUUAGUGGCGCACGGGUGCGUAACGCGUGGGAAUCUGCCCCUUGGUUCGGAAUAACAGUUGGAAACGACUGCUAAUACCGGAUGAUGACGAAAGUCCAAAGAUUUAUCGCCAAGGGAUGAGCCCGCGUAGGAUUAGCUAGUUGGUGAGGUAAAGGCUCACCAAGGCGACGAUCCUUAGCUGGUCUGAGAGGAUGAUCAGCCACACUGGGACUGAGACACGGUCCAGACUCCUACGGGAGGCAGCAGUGGGGAAUAUUGGACAAUGGGCGAAAAGCCUGAUCCAGCCAUGCCGCGUGUGUGAAGAAGGUCUUCGGAUUGUAAAGCACUUUAAGUGGGAGGAAGGGUUGUAACUUAA
This 409-nucleotide ribosomal RNA is filed under the name uncultured soil bacterium. RNAcentral describes it as "bacterial SSU rRNA". It matches the Rfam family "Bacterial small subunit ribosomal RNA", at positions 26 to 463 of the family's 1533-position model. The record is from RNAcentral.